AUCCAGCUAAUGAGCCCCAAAUGGGGUGAAACGCACGUCCUGUAU
Molecule: non-coding RNA, 45 nt
Filed under: Schistosoma bovis
Lineage: Eukaryota; Metazoa; Platyhelminthes; Trematoda; Strigeidida; Schistosomatidae
Also listed under: 1 other name
Source: RNAcentral